CAAAAGAAAGUAUUGGGCGGGCCACACGUGUUGCGUUAGACUGUGCUAAACUCGGUGUUGCUUCCGAGGUUGUGGAGAUCAUUGCUCAGAAGUUGGAAAACGAGUCGAGCUUACGUAGAAGGGUGGAUCUUUUUUUUCUUGUUGAUUCUAUUGCACAGUUCUCUAGAGGACUGAAAGGUCACAUUGGCGGCAUAUAUCCUUCUGCAAUUCAGGGAGUAUUGCCUCGUCUCAUAUCAGCAGCUGCUCCUCCUGGCAGUAGUUCUCAGGAAAAUCGAAGGCAAUGUUUGAAAGUUUUGAGGGUUUGGCAGGAAAGGAAGAUUAUUCCCGAGUCUGCUAUUCGACCCUACAUACGAGAACUUGAGUCCUUUUGUGGUUCAUCAUUAGGUCGUGGAUUCUCUCGACGUCCCAUGAGGACCGAAAGAGCUUUUGAUGAUCCAAUAAGAGAAAUGGAGGGCAUGCUGGUUGAUG
RNAcentral lists this unclassified non-coding RNA (468 nucleotides) under Hevea brasiliensis (rubber tree). The record is from RNAcentral. Lineage: Eukaryota; Viridiplantae; Streptophyta; Magnoliopsida; Malpighiales; Euphorbiaceae.